Podarcis lilfordi (Lilford's wall lizard) is the source of this 1436-nucleotide non-coding RNA. Lineage: Eukaryota; Metazoa; Chordata; Lepidosauria; Squamata; Lacertidae. The record is from the annotation of a GenBank genome assembly.
AGAGGUUUAAGGGAGACCAUCUGGGUUCUGCUCAGAGAAACCAUUGGUUUGGGAACCUGAUACUACUCCGUUUCCCCUGCCAUGGCCUGGACUCCUCUCUUCCUCGUCCUCUCUGCUUACUGCACCGGUUGGUAAUAGGGAGCAUCUGCUUUCUCUUUAUGGGGGAUAUGGGUUCUAGCUCAGCGGUACAGCACCUUCACAAGGUCUAGGGCUCAAUCCCCAGCAUCUCCUGAUAAGGCUGGAAAAGGCUUCUGCUGGUGUUCGGGAUAGACCAUGGGUAGUCAACAUGACACCUUGAACAUGUUGUUGGACUACUGCUCCUAUACUCCCUGAUCACCGUCCCUUAUGGCUGGGGCUGAUGGAAGCUGGAGUCUAAUGACAUCGGGAAAGCACCCCAUUGGCUGUCCCUGGGGUAGAUAAUACCAGGCUGGGUUUGACUGGGUUUGAGCAGGAGGCAUCUCCAUCUCCAUCUCCUCCAUCUCCAUCUCCUUUUCUCUCCUGAUCACCAACUUUUGAGAAGUGAUCUGACAAUAUUAACCACUUGGGACCAGUUUACCUGCAAGAUCUCCUUACGCUAUAUAUGCCCACUCAACCGCUCCGAUCUGUGGAACUGGCACCAUUACGGGCGCCACAUAAUACUCAUUCUGCAUUGGUAAGAAAUCAAUCGUUUUGUGUAGCAGCCCCCACACUUGGGAAUUCCCUGCCUAUUGACACCCAGGCAGAAGCCUUCCCUGUAUUCCCUGUGCUAAGAACCUUUUAGUUUAGACCGGCUUACUCAGGUAUGUAGAAUGUGGCAUGUGUUUUAACGUGCCUUUAGCUUAUCUCUGAUUCUGAUUAUUUUUUGGGGGGGAAUGUUUUAGAUAGUUUUUUUAAGGAUCAUUUUGGGGUUUUUUCCCAUUCUUCUUGUAAACCGCUUUGAGGGGUGUUUUUAACAAUCAAAUGGUGUGUGUGUGCGAAACAAUAAUUAUUAUUAAUAAUUAAUUAAUUAAUUAAUUAAUUAAAAUAGCUACCAAUAAUAAUAGCUCUGCUCUUCCACAAGUUUUUCUCUCUUUCCCCUCACCUUGAUGGAACACAAUUCUCGCCAGCAAUAGCCUCCCUCUUUGCUUUUCUUCUAGGGACCGUUUCUCAGUUCUCCCUAACUCAGGCACCUUCCAUGUCGGCAUCCCUUGGAGAAACGGCCAGCAUCUCCUGUCGGAGGAGCAGUGGAAACAUUGGCACCUACAAUGUCGCCUGGUAUGAACAGAAGCCUGGCAGUGCCCCCAAAAUCCUGAUCUACUGGUUUAGCACCAGAAGCUCUGGAACACCAGAGCGGUUCUCAGGUUCUGUCAACAAACCUUCCAACACGGCCACCUUAACCAUCUCCAAGCUGCAACCAGAAGACGAGGCUGAUUAUUACUGUUUGUCUUAUGACGGCAACGACAAGUACGCACGGCGAU